UUCGGGGGGCCGGCAAUCGAUGUGAUUGUGUUGACUAACGACCUCAGCCAAAUCAAACCUAACUCACGAACUAUAUUGCCCCGAUAUGCAGUAUCUGUGUAGCGCCAUCGUGAUCGGUCAUAUUUGAGGAGUUGGUCUAUAUAUACACAUGGCUUUUAUUUCAUUUUGAUAGUUGCUAAGUUAUAUUGAUCUAGAACAACGCAAAAAAUGUUGGUGGUUUUCAAGAGAGCUUGUGUCUCAAGGAUCUUUGUCAUUACCAUCCUGAUUCUACAAAUACUACAAACAUCUAAAGCAGCGGGGCUCUUUGAUUCCUUGACUGGAACGACGGGAUCCACAUGUUUAAAUAACUCCCUUUUGUCGAGUUUAUCGAGCGCACUAUCAAGUCUUUCAACAGGAGACUUUAAUCUGUUGAAAAUGUUGAACCCCGCCCUAUAUAACGUGCUUAAACUUUUAACACCACUUCUAACGGCAUUUAGCGGGUAGAUCUUGUAAAUUUGCGUGCAGCUGGAUAAAUAAAUAAAAUUGGGCAAUUACUUAUUGCAA
This is a long non-coding RNA of Drosophila yakuba, 543 nucleotides long. RefSeq lists it as uncharacterized. The transcript is spliced from 2 exons. The record is from RefSeq and is a predicted model, not a curated record. Lineage: Eukaryota; Metazoa; Arthropoda; Insecta; Diptera; Drosophilidae.